CUUCACUUCACUGAAACACAAUUUGCUCCGAGUUUCUUAUCCUUAACCAUGAAAAGUCACGAAUCGCCGACAAUUUCCACUCUUCUUGUGCUUGCCCUCUUCAUCUUUCUAUCUAAAACUGAAAUUGAAGCAAGAUUUCUCCAAGAAAUUUGUUCUUCUUCAUGUGGUGAACUCAACAAGAUCACUUACCCAUUUCGCCUAACCACCGAUCCAGUCGAGUGUGGUGAUCCUGACUAUCAACUUUCUUGCCAGGACAACAAACCCAUUUUGGAAUUUCAUUCAGGGCAGUAUUUUGUCAAGCAAAUUUCCUAUGAUAGACAUUUGAUCCGCCUGGUUGAUGUUAACUUAGCCAGUGGGAGCUGCAACCUUCCGCACAGUUCAGUGUCAGUUGAUGAGGUAAAGUAUGAUAAUCGCUAUGGGGGAUUGGUAUCUAGUACGUUUGCCAGUUUCUUCAGAUGUUCGAGUGAGAUCAAUGAUCAAGCUUAUAGGAAAGUUCCUUGUUUGAGUGGAAAUGACUCUCAUGUUUAUGUUAGCUAUGGCACCUAUGUAAUAUCUGAUCUUCAAGGUUCCUGUUCCUUCAUUUCGAGGGUUCCCACAAUUUACCAGGCUGUGUGGUACCCUUCUUAUGAAAGUAUCUUGAAAUUGAUGGCGUCAGGGUUUGAUCUUGAAUGGUCUGUUGAGUGCCGGGAUUGCAUUGCAGAUGGUGGUUCCUGCACUUUGAGCUCAUUGGGUACACCAAAUAUCUAUGAAUGCCAUUUUUCAGGCAUAUAUGUACCCACUCUGGUUUCAACCAUCUUUUAUGCUAUUUUGGACGUUUUGUUAGGUAAUUAUCCCAAAUUGAAAAUUUUGCUCUCGCUGCUGAUGUGAUCUAUUUGAAUUAAAAUUAACAAAAGUCCUUCUUUUGCUCUGUCAGCAAUAAAUCUGAUUGCGAGAUUCAUCCUUGCUCCAAUAGUUAUAGUUGGAUUCCUAAUCUACAAACAUAGAACAACAAAGAAGACUGAAGAUAACAAGGAGGAAUUUCUACCCAAUCAACAAUCCUUGAUGCCCAGAAGGUACUCUUACUCUAAUAUUAUUGCAAUUACAGACAAUUUUAAAGAUAAAUUAGGCCGAGGUGGCUUUGGGACAGUUUACAAAGGACAACUUCCUGAUGGUCUUUUAGUCGCCGUCAAAAUGCUUGGCAACUCCAAGUGUAGUGAUGUGGACUUCAUCAAUGAAAUCUUCUCAAUUGGUAAAAUUCAUCAUGUUAAUGUAAUAAGGUUAGUGGGAUUUUGUUGUGAGGGAUCUUAUCGUGCUCUUCUCUUUGAGUACAUGGUUAAUAGGUCUCUUGACAAGUACAUAUUUUCAAGAGAAACAGAACUUCAGCCAUUGAGUUGGGAGAGACUUCUACAAAUUGCUAUAGGGACAGCUCAAGGAAUUGACCAUCUACAUGUGGGAUGUGAUGUGUGCAUUCUUCAUUUUGAUAUCAAACCACAUAAUGUCCUGCUUGACCAUAAUUUCACACCUAAAGUUUCAGAUUUUGGUCUUGCAAAAUUUUACCCCGCAGAAUAUGAUUUUGUGUCUGCUAGUGCUACAAGAGGAACUAUGGGGUAUAUUGCUCCUGAGUUGAUGUCAAACAACCUUGGAGCUGUUUCUUGCAAAUCAGAUGUUUAUAGUUUUGG
RNAcentral lists this unclassified non-coding RNA (1658 nucleotides) under Hevea brasiliensis (rubber tree). Lineage: Eukaryota; Viridiplantae; Streptophyta; Magnoliopsida; Malpighiales; Euphorbiaceae. The record is from RNAcentral.